CCAAAAGAGCAGAAUUUUCUUCAUAGCAUGGUCUCCUGAUACAUCAAGGGUGAGAAGCAAGAUGAUUUACGCUAGCUCCAAAGACAGAUUUAAGAGAGAACUUGAUGGAAUUCAGGUAGAAUUGCAGGCAACUGAUCCAACUGAGAUGGGACUUGAUGUCUUUAAAAGCCGUGCCAGCUGAAUGUGAACUGUAGGCCUUUGAGCGAGGACCUCCUCCAUUCGGUGUCUACUGGAGUGAAAUGUUUAUAGUUUGUGGGAUGGUGAAGCAGGACACAAUUGUUAUAUUGUUUCCCAGUUUUUCCAUGAAGUCUUUUUAUUCAUUUGGAGCAUGAAUCUAUGGUUUCUGGUAUAUCUUGUGAUUUGUUAUUUGUAGAACUCAUGUGUGUCGACUUGUAGUCUUAUGUCUACAAGCUAAUAUGUAACUGUUUGCAAGGGUCUAGACAACACAUUUAGUUCAUUUUCAAGUUAAGGUAUUUUGACAUCUGGUCAUAUGCUUUGGAAUGCUAAUUAGCAUGCUUUUAUUAGUUUCCGUUUCAGUGCUAAUUUAUUGGCUUCACAUUUGUUACCGCAUGGAUUAAUAUAAGAAGAGAACUGAUAUUAGUUUUCGGGCAGACUGUUUCUUAAUUAGUUUUCUUCUAAUGUUCCAAUUGGGUGAUGUGGAAAAGAUUCUCCAGCUAUCUUAACAAAUUAAUAUGUUACCAUUCUCGAAUGUCAACUUGAGUUCUGGAUGAUUGAGCUUGCCAGGCCAGCAUUUAGGGAAUAUGACGUGCUUAAGUGCCUUCGGUCAUCUAUUCUGUUGGCCAAUGAGUUGAGCGGAUGUUU
Molecule: unclassified non-coding RNA, 822 nt
Filed under: Hevea brasiliensis (rubber tree)
Lineage: Eukaryota; Viridiplantae; Streptophyta; Magnoliopsida; Malpighiales; Euphorbiaceae
Source: RNAcentral